This 247-nucleotide long non-coding RNA is filed under the name Homo sapiens (human). RNAcentral describes it as "non-protein coding lnc-XPNPEP3-3:1". The record is from RNAcentral. Lineage: Eukaryota; Metazoa; Chordata; Mammalia; Primates; Hominidae.
GCCCAUUCUCAUUUCCAGGCUAAAGUCACCCCAGAGUGUGGCUUCACAGGGUGUGUGGAGAAAACCGCAAGCAGCUCAUCUAAGGAAUGAGUUUGAAAGCCUCCCGCUUGGCUCUGAUGGAAAUACACCUGUUCUGGAAAUUCGAAGGGGCUGUUGAUAUGGUCUUGAUCUUUGCCUGUCUUGUCAUCAGUUGUCAGCAACAACUGGGCAAAAAGCUCUGGAAAAGCUCUGGAGGCAAAUUGAGUCC